AUCUGUGGUUCAGACUUCAUCAUGGACCCUAGAGGCGAUAAGAGAAUGAAAAAAAGAGUGUGUGUGUAAUUACACAAAAAUCACUCAAAGUGGUUACUGCUCAGUACUGUUCUCUACUUAAUGAUAUCUUACUAGGUAAGCAGAGUUUGUAUUACUAAAAACACAAACCACAGAAUGAAGGAAUGUUAUUAUUUUUCUUUUGUCAUUUUUGGGUGAAAAAAGUAAAAGUAGAGGUGACUUUUCUGAGGUCCGGAACAAAUUGUAAUUUUUCCAUAUAAGAAAUAAUGAAAAUACGUUUGUUUUUUACGGUCUAUGAAUUUUUGCUACACGGAAGGGUUUCUGGGAAGGAGUUACAGGUGGAAGAAGAGGUACAGCUGUUCGCUCCUGCGUAUUCCUCACCCCUUCAGCUCUUCAUCCAUCAGUCCCUGGAAAGCUGCUGCAGCCCCUGUGAUCCAGAAGGCCUGACCUUCAACUGUGUCCUGAGCCCCUUUCCUCGGGGAAAGAGAGCUCUGGGCGAGGUGACAGGGGCUAAGUGUUUAGAUUGCUCAGUCAGUGCUGCCUGCCAGUAUUCUUCACAGAGGUCCAGUGUGCGGAUAUGUGCGGCUUUUCCCAGCCUCUCCCGCACUGGGAAAGUGUCAAACUGGGAUAUUUUAUCAAGUGAGGUAAAGUCCACACAGAACCUUAAACUCCCGUCUGUCUUUGUCCCACAGCUCCGGGACUGGACCGUUCACUCACGAGCGGUCUGUCAUGUCCAGUGUUCACAAGGUCUCUCCUUCUUGUCUCACACCUGUACUAGAUGCACCGGAGCCCUGCGUGUUACGGAAUAUUAAUGAGGACCAGGUGCAGAAAAGUCAGGACAAACUCCAGAGGCGCAGUCGAUUAAACAUACCGAGGUCCGGAAAUCGAAGAGGCUGACGCUGGCCCCCGCUCUGUGAGAGGAUGACCAGCAGAGGAGCGAGCAGGGCCCUGUCACCAUGCUUGAUGUUGCCUGUGCGCUGGCGCUCUGGACAUGUCUGACAGGACUUAUUGAUGUCAUUGCACCAGCCUGGACAAUAAAAUCGUGUGGCAGUUUGAGCCCGGGUUGUUAUCUGGCCCAUAUCCCCUGCCCAGGUACGCCGUGGGGAGAGUACGCAGUGCGCCUCUCCCCGCAGGUGAGCUCUUCCUCCUGUUGAGCUCAGGCACAGCGCCGGCAUCCUCCUGCUGCACUGGACUUCCUGGAUCUCAGCCUCUCUCCCUGCUCCGUGCCUUGUCCUCUCUUUAGGGUGGUGCAGGUCAUCUGCACAGGGAAAGGGAGUGGCUCCAGACUGUUUCUCUCUUUCCAGGAGCUGGUGCUUGCCCCAAGACCUGGUGGUGCCGUGUGCUUGAGGGCUUCUAUCUGAUCAUCUGGAUGAUUCUGCCAGAAUAGCCAGGUGAGUCCUGCCACUUGCUCAGAGGAGACGGGGCUCUGCUCUUCAAUCCAGAUCUUCACAUCCUGUGGCAGCACACACAGGACCUGCUCCAGGACGAAGGCAUCUUCAGUCUCCUCUUCUGAUCAUAACUGUGGCUGCAGCACUUGUUCUAGACAGAAGGAGCCGCUCAGAGUGAGUGGCAGCAGCUGAACUUCUCUCUGACCAUUGAAGAGUGACAGGUGGCUCUGGGGGUGUGUUAGAUAUUAG
Lepisosteus oculatus (spotted gar) is the source of this 1655-nucleotide non-coding RNA. The record is from RefSeq and is a predicted model, not a curated record. Lineage: Eukaryota; Metazoa; Chordata; Actinopteri; Semionotiformes; Lepisosteidae.